Molecule: ribosomal RNA, 691 nt
Filed under: uncultured Cortinarius
Lineage: Eukaryota; Fungi; Basidiomycota; Agaricomycetes; Agaricales; Cortinariaceae
Description: eukaryotic LSU rRNA
Rfam family: 5.8S ribosomal RNA (bases 143-296)
Source: RNAcentral
GGAUAUCUUUCUGAAUGCCUGGCAUUCAGGUUUGAGGAUUGACUUUUGUCUUUCCUUACAUUUCCAGGCCUAUGUUUUCUUCAUAUACACCAUGUAUGUUAUAGAAUGUAAUAAAAAGGCCUUUGUGCCUACAAACCUAUACAACUUUCAGCAACGGAUCUCUUGGCUCUCGCAUCGAUGAAGAACGCAGCGAAAUGCGAUAAGUAAUGUGAAUUGCAGAAUUCAGUGAAUCAUCGAAUCUUUGAACGCACCUUGCGCUCCUUGGUAUUCCGAGGAGCAUGCCUGUUUGAGUGUCAUUAAUAUAUCAACCUCCUCAGGUUUUUACUUGUCGAGUGUUUGGAUGUGGGGGUAUCUUUUGCUGGUCUCUUUUGAGGUCGGCUCCCCUGAAAUGCAUUAGCGGAACAAUUUGUUGACUCGUUCAUUGGUGUGAUAACUAUCUACGCUAUUGACGUGAAGCAGGUUCAGCUUCUAACAGUCCAUUGACUUGGACAAAUUUUCAUUAAUGUGACCUCAAAUCAGGUAGGACUACCCGCUGAACUUAAGCAUAUCAAUAAGCGGAGGAAAAGAAACUAACAAGGAUUCCCCUAGUAACUGCGAGUGAAGCGGGAAAAGCUCAAAUUUAAAAUCUGGCAGUCUUUGGCUGUCCGAGUUGUAAUCUAGAGAAGUGUUAUCCGCGCUGGACCGUGUACAA